Molecule: ribosomal RNA, 497 nt
Filed under: uncultured bacterium
Lineage: Bacteria
Description: partial 16S ribosomal RNA
Rfam family: Bacterial small subunit ribosomal RNA
Source: RNAcentral
GAUGAACGCUGGCGGCGUGCCUAAUACAUGCAAGUCGAGCGAACAGAUGAGGAGCUUGCUCCUCUGACGUUAGCGGCGGACGGGUGUGUAACACGUGUAUAAUCUCCUUAUAAGAGUGGUAUAACUUCGGGAAUCCGGAGCUAAUACCGGAUAAUAUCCUGCUCCGCAUGGUUCAAUAGAGAGAGACGGCUUUUCUGUCUCGUAUAGAUGGAUCCGCGCCGCAUUAGCUAGUUGGUAAGGUCAUGGGUUACCAAGGGAAGUAGGCGUAGCCGACGUGAGGGGGGGGUCGGCCGCACUGGAACGGAGACACGGUCCAGGCUCCUACGGGACGCAGCAGUAGGGAAUGUUCCGCAAUGGGCGAAAGCCUGACGGAGCAGGGCCGCGUGAGUGAUGAAGGUCUUCGGAUCGUGAAACUCUGUUAUGAGGGGUGAACAAAUGUGUAAGUAACUAUGCACGUCUUGACGGUAACUGAUAAAAAAGCCACGGCUAACUACGUG